CACACACACACACACACACACACACACACACACACACACACACACACACACACAGUGUACUACACAUUUCACAAGGUGCCACAUACACUCUCAAACACACACACACACACACACACACACACACACACACACACACACACACACACUGUACUACACAUUUCACAAGGUGCCACACACACAGUGUACUACACAUUUCACAAGAUGCCACAUACAGUCUCACACACACAGACUCACACAAACGCACACACACACCCUCUCACAAACACACACUCACACACAGACACACUCUCUCUCAUAAGCACUCACACACACGCUGUCCCACACAAACACAUUAUCACACACACACACACACACACUCACAAACAAACACACUCACAUAUACAGACUCUCUCACACACACACACACACACGCUCUCACACCUUCAUUCAGUCAUUGAGACA
Molecule: long non-coding RNA, 441 nt
Organism: Clupea harengus (Atlantic herring)
Lineage: Eukaryota; Metazoa; Chordata; Actinopteri; Clupeiformes; Clupeidae
Source: Ensembl